Long non-coding RNA from Gadus macrocephalus (Pacific cod), 1755 nucleotides. RefSeq lists it as uncharacterized. The transcript is spliced from 2 exons. Lineage: Eukaryota; Metazoa; Chordata; Actinopteri; Gadiformes; Gadidae. The record is from RefSeq and is a predicted model, not a curated record.
CACACAACAGAGUACCUCAACACACUUUGCUGUGUGUGUGUGUGUGUGUGUGUGUGUGUGUGUGUGUGUGUGUGUGUGUGUGUGUGUGUGUGUGUGUGUGUGGAAGAGGGUGGUUACUGUCAGUAUUUUGUUAGUCUCAGUAGAGUUCUCCACGGUUUCUCGGUUGGUUUCUCGGUGUCCUGUGUUCGCCUUUUGUGCUUAUGGCUGUGCAUCUGUUUUGGAUGUCUCUAGUGCUGUCUUUCGUUGUUUAGCUUUAUUUGUGUCCAUGGCAUUCUUGUCUGUCUGGCUUGGUGUACAUAUGUGUCAGUCUUGGCAUGUGUCUACCUCUUUUGUGUGGCCAUGUCAUUCUGUCCCUCUGUACAUUUCUCACCAUACUCAUCAAUUUUUAUGUCGUUGAACAGUGGGUUUUCUUUGGCUGACGUGGUGGAAUCCUCCAGCUUUGCCUGCCAAAUGAUACAGUGUAUAUACAUUAUGAAACACGCUCACUAACAAAACUCAAACACAACCCCAUGCAGCCACCCUGCUGUUUGGACAAUUCGGUCACGUUGCGCCCUUAAUCCUUACUCUCUCUCUACAUAGUUUGCUGUUACCCUUCUCCAUCUAACCGUUGAGCUUGAUCAACUCGAUACAUUUGGUCAGCUUUAUUCAGUAUAUUCAAUCCUUCCCUCUCUCUGCCCCACCACCCCCCCUGGUGUUCUCUCUUCCCUCCCCUUCACUCUGUCUCACCACUUUGGUCAACUCAGACGGUGUUUCCUCCACCACUGGCUCGGUCAUGUCGAAGGUACGUCUGUGUGACAAACAUGGAGACAAAGUCAAAUCGGCUCCACUCUUUCUUGUUGUCUGCCCCACUGACCUUGCACAGCUGCUGCACAGUGAGGUGACGAAAAUGGAGAUGAUGAGGAGGAGGAGCAGGGAGAAGACACCCAUGUCUGGAGAAACAGUGGCUGUGGAGAGCAUCCAGGAACCCAGGAAUUCUCUGCCUACGGGGGCCAUAUUGACUGAGACUGAGAGGGGGGAGGGGGAUUUAACACAGAUAUCAUCAGAUCUAUAUAAUAUAACUAUAGGCAAUAUAGUCACACUCUUUGGUCCCAUCAAGUUAUUUAACACUUCAGUACGAGAGGAAGAAGUCAUUUUAGAUUUUCUUUAAAUUAUUUUAUGUAUCACUAACAACUACUUUAUUUCACAAAUUUGUUCAUGUUUCCAGCAAAAAAUGGUGCUACCAGUAUGUCUGCCUCAAGCUAAGAAAAGCAAGCAGCAACAUUGUAUAUUCAAACUACGCUGACGUGAGACCUAUUUUCCCUUACAAAUGAUAUGUAAACUUGGAUGCUCAAUACAGACGCAGGCCUGUUUUUCAGGAACUGGAAAGCAGGACAAACUGCUUUUUAUUUUAUUUUAUUUAUUAUCUGAAACUAGAGGUCUGGUCAUUGUUUUUGCAAUAUUUUAUACAUAUUUUUGUAAUUUUGUUGUUUUGGCCACGUGAGAAUGUUCUUGGCGUGUCAAUUAAUCACAUUUCAGUGGAGUUGAAAAGAAUGGAAGGCUAAAUGAUUGACAGCGAAGAAAGGAAGGAGUUUACUAAAGGAAAGAGUCAGACAUGAUAGGAAUUACUAACAACCAAAGUUAGCGUAACCAUUAUCAACUUUACAAAACUGGCCCAAAUAGGAUCAAUCCUAACGGUUGUCUGUAAUGGGCUAUUCUUUACAAAUUGUGUGGUUUGGUUAAGAAUAAAUCACUCUUGAAGUUACACAUACAGAGCGA